CUUCUGAUGGACUUUUGCAUACUGAAAAUCCUCAUGAUAUCCGCACCUAGUGUGAUCAGGAUUCAUCUGGAAAACAAUUUCAUCUGUUCCAUCAUUGGAUGUUUAUAUGGCUGUAUUUUCUUAGGGCUGGCGAAAUUUUUUGUCCUUUCCUUUAAUAUGUUCUCUAUUUGUUCAGAUCAAACUAUAUGACUAGUGUUCCCAGCCUACAGAAGGUGGUUCUCAGAAAAUGAAAACUUUUUCAGGGAUUGACCAGAAAAAUAGAAACAAAAGAGUCAUUCUAUGGAACUUGAGAAUACUAUAUAUCUUCUCUUAUACUUUGUUCAAAGGAGGAUACCUUGUCAUAGAAAACAAAGUUUGAUAUCUAUAUCCUAUGUUUUUUUUUUCUUUUCUACUUUUAUGUCUCAUUUAUUUGUUUGUUCAGUUAUUUUUCUUUUGUAUCAUUGAUUGUCAUUUUCUUGUGGGGAGAUGACAUUUCUUUGUUGGAUCUUCUUUAGUAAUG
This 499-nucleotide long non-coding RNA is filed under the name Phoenix dactylifera (date palm). RNAcentral's name for it is "long non-coding RNA (PDAC_LNC015635)". Lineage: Eukaryota; Viridiplantae; Streptophyta; Magnoliopsida; Arecales; Arecaceae. The record is from RNAcentral.